AGUUAAAGCUUCCUCGAACCAGCAAGAUGAGUUGUACAACACAGCGCCCAUGCCAAGGUCAGCAGUCUGAAUGGAGCUGAGACACUUUUACUGGCCGUGCCAAGCAGUGCCAAGCACCUCUGGAAGCCCCUGCCUAGGACCCCAAAUUUAGAUUCACGCUGCAGUCUGGAGAGUGUUUUGACGGCUGCCGGGCUACAGGGAAAAGCGCACUGCACACUGCCUCUGAGAUGAGGCAGAGCUCUCCAGGCUGGGAGUCUGAGGAAGCCGGACCUGGGCAGCGCUGCUCAGCUUUGGGUCAUUUUACUAACAGAUAGGAUUUCUAGAGAUUCACUUGUCAGUUCUUUGAGGGAAAAGAGAAGCCCCGUUCACCAUUGGUCAUGAGGUUCCAGGAGCAUCACUUCCUUCAUCCAGCACCCUACCUCUGUGACAUGUGAAGAAACCAACCCAUUUUCCAAUGGCAACACUGAGUUCAUGCACAUGCACACUAUAGUCUUCAGUGUCUGUGCUUCGCCUAUCAGUUGGAUCUGUUUUCUUUUACAGUUCUGGGUACUUUUCAAGACUCUAUUGACCAAAUCUGUAAAGAGUGUUGAUAAUCCAAUUCAUAAACUGGCUUUCUGAGCUAUUGUGAUGUCUUUUCCUCUCUUUGUGACCGAGAAUGUCACAAAGAGACAUUCUCUUGCCUUUGAAGAUCCAUGAUGUUUUAAAAUCAUGAGACCCAAGGCAGAAGUGUCCAGGAACCAAGCCAAACUGUGACAUUUUAAAGCCACGACUUGACUAGAGGGAAUGAAGAAGAGGUGAAGAUCCUUCUGUGCUAACCUAUGAGUGCAUUUGGACCAUGAGAAUAAUGUGUCAUUGGGCAAGACAACGAGUGGCUGCUUGUUGAUGCCUCCUGGAUUGUUAUUUGGUGAGCUCUGCAAUAUGCACUCUGCUCACACACAGGGUCACAGAAGGCAUGGGGGUCUUGAGUGUCCUCUUCCUAGGGGCAUCAGUGAGCUAACACUAUGUGCAAAUGAGCCCCUCUGCUUCUGCUGGAACCAUCAUUCAACGGACAGAAAGGAUCUCUGUGUUGGACUCGACUCUGAUGCAUCUUGUCUUCAGGGAUGGAAAGUGUUCCCGCGGGAAGACCGAAGCUAAAGGAAUCGCAGUAUUUCUUCAGAGUCUGGAUUAUUCUGAACUACAUGGAAAUACGUUCAAGCCCAAGAUGAGUGGCUCAAAGCAUGGCUGUGAGUGAGUCAGCUGAAGACAGAUUUGGAUCAUAUUUUAUUUAACCAGGAGGAAUAAAAUCCAGCAUAGUAGAUUUUAAGUUCUUGGGAAAUAUGUCCUGUCAAUGCCGUUAUUGAGAAGAAGGACAGAGAACACACUCUUCCAGACAAGGAAGAGAAGGAGAUGUGGCCCUGGCUUUGUGAGCUGUGGCAGGGAGGGAACCAGCAUGGGAGUGAAGGUCUCUGGAAGCUUCCAGACAAACAAGUGUGGAAAUCAUUUGUCAGAUCCCUGAGAGUGGGUACUGCAGAAGACUUCCUAUGUUUUUUUUUUUGGUGUGGAUAAAUACACAUAACUAUUUAUUACUGCGACACAAGCAGGCUACAAUAUGCUUUAUACAUUUCUUUGGUUUUAACAAUUGCAGUAGGAACUUUGCUCUUGCCCGAAUCCUAAGAGGCGUGUUGUUGUCAUUGUUGUUUAUUUGUUUUUGCUUUUCUUUUCAAAUAGAGACAAAUAAGGGUGAGAAGGAAG
Molecule: long non-coding RNA, 1731 nt
Organism: Grammomys surdaster
Lineage: Eukaryota; Metazoa; Chordata; Mammalia; Rodentia; Muridae
Exons: 3
Source: RefSeq, a predicted model, not a curated record